RNAcentral lists this ribosomal RNA (274 nucleotides) under uncultured bacterium. RNAcentral describes it as "partial 16S ribosomal RNA". It matches the Rfam family "Bacterial small subunit ribosomal RNA", at positions 523 to 796 of the family's 1533-position model. The record is from RNAcentral.
AUACGGAGGGUGCAAGCGUUGUUCGGAAUUACUGGGCGUAAAGCGCGCGUAGGCGGUCUGUUAUGUCAGAUGUGAAAGCCCUCGGCUCAACCGGGGAAGUGCAUUUGAAACUGGCAGACUUGAGUACUGGAGGGGGUGGUGGAAUUCCCGGUGUAGAGGUGAAAUUCGUAGAUAUCGGGAGGAAUACCGGUGGCGAAGGCGACCACCUGGCCAGAUACUGACGCUGAGGUGCGAAAGCGUGGGGAGCAAACAGGAGUAGAAACCCUAGUAGUCC